This 1372-nucleotide ribosomal RNA is filed under the name uncultured bacterium. Its description in RNAcentral is "bacterial SSU rRNA". It matches the Rfam family "Bacterial small subunit ribosomal RNA", at positions 28 to 1381 of the family's 1533-position model. The record is from RNAcentral.
GAUGAACGCUGGCGGCGUGCCUAAUACAUGCAAGUCGAGCGAACGGACGAGAAGCUUGCUUCUCUGAUGUUAGCGGCGGACGGGUGAGUAACACGUGGAUAACCUACCUAUAAGACUGGGAUAACUUCGGGAAACCGGAGCUAAUACCGGAUAAUAUUUUGAACCGCAUGGUUCAAAAGUGAAAGACGGUCUUGCUGUCACUUAUAGAUGGAUCCGCGCUGCAUUAGCUAGUUGGUAAGGUAACGGCUUACCAAGGCAACGAUGCAUAGCCGACCUGAGAGGGUGAUCGGCCACACUGGAACUGAGACACGGUCCAGACUCCUACGGGAGGCAGCAGUAGGGAAUCUUCCGCAAUGGGCGAAAGCCUGACGGAGCAACGCCGCGUGAGUGAUGAAGGUCUUCGGAUCGUAAAACUCUGUUAUUAGGGAAGAACAUAUGUGUAAGUAACUGUGCACAUCUUGACGGUACCUAAUCAGAAAGCCACGGCUAACUACGUGCCAGCAGCCGCGGUAAUACGUAGGUGGCAAGCGUUAUCCGGAAUUAUUGGGCGUAAAGCGCGCGUAGGCGGUUUUUUAAGUCUGAUGUGAAAGCCCACGGCUCAACCGUGGAGGGUCAUUGGAAACUGGAAAACUUGAGUGCAGAAGAGGAAAGUGGAAUUCCAUGUGUAGCGGUGAAAUGCGCAGAGAUAUGGAGGAACACCAGCGGCGAAGGCGACUUUCUGGUCUGUAACUGACGCUGAUGUGCGAAAGCGUGGGGAUCAAACAGGAUUAGAUACCCUGGUAGUCCACGCCGUAAACGAUGAGUGCUAAGUGUUAGGGGGUUUCCGCCCCUUAGUGCUGCAGCUAACGCAUUAAGCACUCCGCCUGGGGAGUACGACCGCAAGGUUGAAACUCAAAGGAAUUGACGGGGACCCGCACAAGCGGUGGAGCAUGUGGUUUAAUUCGAAGCAACGCGAAGAACCUUACCAAAUCUUGACAUCCUUUGACAACUCUAGAGAUAGAGCUUUCCCCUUCGGGGGACAAAGUGACAGGUGGUGCAUGGUUGUCGUCAGCUCGUGUCGUGAGAUGUUGGGUUAAGUCCCGCAACGAGCGCAACCCUUAAGCUUAGUUGCCAUCAUUAAGUUGGGCACUCUAAGUUGACUGCCGGUGACAAACCGGAGGAAGGUGGGGAUGACGUCAAAUCAUCAUGCCCCUUAUGAUUUGGGCUACACACGUGCUACAAUGGACAAUACAAAGGGCAGCGAAACCGCGAGGUCAAGCAAAUCCCAUAAAGUUGUUCUCAGUUCGGAUUGUAGUCUGCAACUCGACUACAUGAAGCUGGAAUCGCUAGUAAUCGUAGAUCAGCAUGCUACGGUGAAUACGUUCCCGGGUCU